This 577-nucleotide ribosomal RNA is filed under the name Micromonospora sp. RBC7. Its description in RNAcentral is "bacterial SSU rRNA". It matches the Rfam family "Bacterial small subunit ribosomal RNA", at positions 54 to 661 of the family's 1533-position model. Lineage: Bacteria; Bacillati; Actinomycetota; Actinomycetes; Micromonosporales; Micromonosporaceae. The record is from RNAcentral.
CAUGCAGUCGAGCGGAAAGGCCUUCGGUACUCGAGCGGCGAACGGGUGAGUAACACGUGAGAACCUGCCCCAGCUUUGGGAUAACCCCGGGAAACCGCUAAUACCGAAUAUGACCUCUGACCGCAUGUUGGUGGUGGAAAGUUUUUCGGUUUGGAAUGGGCUCCCGGCCUAUCAGCUUGUUGGGGGGGGGAGGGCCUACCAAGGCGACGACGGGAAGCCGGCCUGAGAGGGCGACCGGCCACACUGGGACUGAGACACGGCCCAGACUCCUACGGAAGGCAGCAGGGGGAAUAUUGCACAAUGGGCGGACCGUGAAUGCAGCGACGCCGCGUGAGGAAUGACGGCCUUCGGGUUGUAAACCUCUUUCAGCAGGGACGAAGCGUAAGUGAUGGAACCUGCAGAAGAAGCCCCGGCCAAUUACGUGCCAGCAGCCGCGGAAAAACGUAGGCCGCGAGGUUGUCCGGAUUUAUUGGGCGAAAAGAGCUCGAAGGCGCUUUGUCGCGCCGACCGUGAAAAUUUGGGGUUCAACCCCAAGCCUGCGGCCGAAACGGCCAGGCUAAAGUUCGGAAGGGAAGAU